This 5033-nucleotide unclassified non-coding RNA is filed under the name Leguminivora glycinivorella. RNAcentral describes it as "ubiquitin-protein ligase E3C, transcript variant X2". Lineage: Eukaryota; Metazoa; Arthropoda; Insecta; Lepidoptera; Tortricidae. The record is from RNAcentral.
GCCACAAUCCAAUCAAAUGUUUGUAAUUCUAGGUCCCAUUUUGUGACGAAGGGUGGUGUAAUUGCUGUAUUUAUUCCAUGAUUAAACUUUAUUAACUUAAUAUGAUCUGAAUUGAAUUUAUACCUAAAACUCUUAGGCAAAAAAUAUUAAUCACUUGUGAGGUAUGCGACUACGUUGGUAAAAUUGUCAAUUUCUGAGACAUGUAUUCAUUUGAAGGGGAUUUUCGGCGGAAACCGCAACAAAACUUGUCCGGGGCCAGCGCUCAGCGCAAAACUAACCGAGAUGCUCUCAUUCUUCAGACUCAACAACAAAGACAAAAACGAGAGGAGCACAGGAAGCGUCUCAACAGCACUGUUAAAAUCCAAGCAUUUGUGAGAAGUUACCUGACAAGGAAACACUGCAAGCAGAGUGAGCGGGAGGACUUUGACAACAUAUUCCCUAAAGUCAAUGCGGAAGAUGUUGACAUGUUGUGUGCACUGGUUGUAAAAAUCCUAUUUUUCUAUGAUGGGAAACUUGAUUCUUCUAGACUGGUGUCAGUGUCCCAGCUGUUGUUAAAACAAUGGCGAAAAGUAUUUCAAAAUGGAGGCUGUUAUAUUCAAAUUAGACGAUUGCUUGUCCUUCAUCUGCGGCUGUUAAAAGAAGGAUCAGAGGUACCUUUAGCUGUACCGCUCAGAAUGUUUGAAGUAUUCACUUCUGUAAAUUCAGCAGAAAACUCUAUGAACUCUGAUGAAGUUUUGAGCAAUGUUGCUGGAACAUUUUUAUACUUAGUUAAAAGAGGCUACUUCACAGAGCUACGGGAGCUGUUGUGCCGUAAGACGCCCCCGCUGUAUGGACCUUCUCCCAACCCGCCCACGCCUCUCUGCGGAGCCCUGCUGGACCUAAUACAGAGACCGCUCAAUCUAACCACCCAUGUUCACGUCAGUGGAUAUGAUAACAUGGUUAUGUCAGAAUUCGCAUCAGCAUUCCUCUGCAACCCGUACCCCGAGCCGGUGGAGAUGUACAUAAUACCAGCCCUCUCCGUGGACAGCAGAAAGUUCCCGUUUCUGGCCCUCAUGCAGUGCCUGCAGGAUGACACCAUAUUCAACAAGAGCGUGCUCAACGAUUCAUGGCUGCUGCAUUCUGUGCUGUCGCUAGAACCUCCAGGGUUUGCGAACGAAAUCCGCAACAUCAACAACACAAGACUGCCGAACAACCCCAUCGUCCUAGACUACCUUAAAAUAAUAGCCCAGCUCACCGUCAACGUAUGCAACAAGCAAAUCACGUACGAGUACGAAGACUCCCUGUACAGCCAAGAGACCGCGGCAGACAAGGACGACGAUAGCGACAGCGAGACAGAACCUAAUCCAACCUCUGUGCGGGAACAGAUGCUGCUCACUCGGUGUAUAGAAAUAUUGAACGAGCCGGAUAGAUGUGUGAUGACUACUUGCUCGCAGAUUACAGAGAGUGAUUUGAGUGAGGACUUCUUGGAUUGCUUGUCGAAGAUCUGUCAUAAUUUGUUGCUGAGUCAUAGGAUGGCGUUGCAUAAAUAUAGAUUACUGUACACGCUGGCGUUCAAGCCCAUAUUCCUACGGGGUCUAUGGCACUGGCUCAGCCAUAUGAGUCACGAGUCUUCCUUCGGAGGGUCUGCCACGCCGCUCCUGUCCGCUCUCUCCCGUGGCAUGGGCGCCGAGUCCACCGUCAUAGGCGUCCAUAGGCUACUAGCGCCGCUGGCUGUGUUCUGCGCGCUGUUCUCGCUACUUAUCGGGACGUUGCACGACACGGAGUUCUGCAGGGAUGUGGACGACGAUGAUUCCAUGAGCUGCGAGUCCAUUUAUAACAAUGAUAGCAACGUAUCUCACUUCCCUACCGGCGGCGGCGGCCGAGUCCACGCCUUUGAGUUUUCCGAGCUCGGCGGUCUGUGCCGGAUGCUUCGGCAAGUGUGCCUCGGAUUGGUGGAACUGGCGUAUCCAGAAUCCCGGCCGGCGGUCAAUACGCAGUAUCGAGAUGCAGUCGGAGCGACUAUAGAGCUGGCUGGUAGUCAGACGCCUGCUUGGUCACACUUAUUCAAGGUGUGCACACAUCUCCUUCGUGCGUUAUACGUACGUGACUCACGCCUGUGCUUCAUGCCGCCCGGGUCGUGGCCGGUGCGAGGUUGCGUGCCAGAAGGAGCCGCCGCUGUAUUAGUAGUGGCCGGUACUCACGUGCGACCCAAUCCGCGUCAGUUGCGCCGCCCGCAACACCACCUACAUCAUGUGAGGGACCAGGAUGAGGGACCACCGCUAACAAUCAAAGAGCUCCGGACAGUCACUAUUCUAAGAGAAAUCCCGUUCGUCGUUCCGUUUGCCACGAGAGUCCUUAUAUUCCAAGGAUUACUCGUUAGAGAAAAGCACGAUCACUGGUAUGAGAUGUCAAACUUCAACGAGGGACCUUCAAUAAACAUUAGUGUACGGCGGACGCAUCUGUAUGAAGAUGCUUUUGACAAACUCAGUCCUGACAAUGAGCCGGACAUGAAAUUAAAGCUGCGAGUGCAGCUCAUCAACCAGGCGGGAGCCGAGGAGGCGGGCGUCGACGGCGGCGGACUGUUUAGGGAAUUCCUAUCAGAGUUACUGAAAUCGGCGUUUGACCCCAACAGAGGCUUGUUCCGGCUGACGAAAGACAACAUGCUGUACCCCAAUCCCGGGGUACAUUUGCUGUAUGACGACUUUCCUAUGCAUUACUAUUUUGUUGGCAGAAUGCUUGGCAAGGCAUUAUACGAGAACCUUUUAGUGGAACUACCGUUAGCCGAAUUCUUCCUCGGAAAGCUGUGUUCCUCCCGCGAGCCCGACGUUCACGCGUUGGCGUCUCUAGACCCGGCGUUAUACCGUGGAUUGCUCAUGUUGAAGUCACAUCGGCGGCAGGAUGUGCCUGACUUGGGGCUGGAUUUUACGAUAGUAAGCGACGAGCUAGGAGAACAACGGAUAGAAGAAUUAAAACCUGGUGGAGCUAACAUUCCAGUAACGUCUGAAAAUAGGAUAGAAUACAUACAUUUAGUAGCCGAUUACAAAUUAAACAGACAAAUAAGGUCGCAGUGCAACGCGUUCAAACGCGGCCUAACAUCAGUAGUGAAUGCGGAGUGGCUCCGAAUGUUCUCCUGCCGAGAACUACAGCUGCUCAUAUCGGGUGCAGAAGUUCCAAUAGACCUGGAAGACCUGAGGGCACACACGCAGUAUGCUGGUGGAUUCUCCGCGACGCACCCAACGGUGCAGUGGUUCUGGAAGGUGGUGGAAAACUUCGCGGAUGCACAGCGUCGGCAGCUGCUCAAGUUUGUCACCAGCUGCUCAAGGCCACCACUACUGGGUUUCAAGGAUCUUCAACCCCCGUUCUGCAUCCAAUCUGCCGGCGCAUCCGACCGGCUGCCGUCGUCUUCGACCUGCAUGAACCUGCUCAAGCUGCCCGAGUUCCACUCCGAGCAGCAACUACACGAGAAGCUGCUCUACGCCAUACAGGCCGGCGCCGGCUUCGAGCUCAGCUAGAGUGAGUCCGCACUAGUAUUACAGCACGCGUGCGACAGGGACAGCACUACUCCUCAACCUGCAUGAACCUGCUCAAGCUGCCCGUUCCACUCCGAGCAACAACUACACGAGAAGCUGCUCUACGCCAUACAGGCCGGCGCCGGCUUCGAGCUCAGCUAGAGUCACAGUCAUGAGAACAAACUUGUAUGCGUGCAAAUAACUUAAUGAAUUAUUUUGAAAGAUUUUUCAUGAAUAGUACAUCUAAAUGUGAUAAUAUUAUAUCUAAUGACGUUCAGUGUCUUAUUGUGUAUAUAGUAAAAUGUUACCCUAUCCGCUCACUCACUUUAUUUUAAGAUCAUGCAUAUAAUCGUACGAUUGCAGUAUGUUUAUUUUUUUAUGUUCCUAUUUUAUAAUAAAUAUCUUGACGUAUUUAAAAUACUUGGUAUCAUCAAUUCAUCACACGAAGAAGCGGGUUUAAGUAUAUAUUGGCCUGGUUCUCGAAAAAGGGACUUUAAAGUGGCUAGAGGCGUACACAAGUGGCCAAUAUUUUCGCUACCUAGCGUGAACGACUAGCUACUUGUCUAUGCGCCUUGGCCCUUACGCAAAUAUUGACUAUGCUCCAAUAAAAUGAGACUUUACAUCGAAUUAUAGUCCCUAGUAACGACUCAUUAGACCAUAGUUUCAAUAUAAUUUUAUGUGAAUCUACUUCUACGUGUAAAUAUAUUGGCAAAACACCGUAUUUGUGUAAGUAGCUAGUCUGGAUUGAUAAUGUUUAUAUUUGACGUGUAAUAGGAAAUGAUUAUUAUGAAAUUUCGAAUGCAAUUGUACAUAGUCACAACGACUGUUUAGUUGAGGCACAAUUCUUGCACAUUUUUAUUAAAAAAACACGAUACGAAUUCAGAGCUUGUAUUCUGUUUUGAAACACGUUUCGUAUCGAAAUCGAGAGAACUUCCUAAAAUCAUGAUAAAACUGUCGAUUCGAAAUUUUGUCGUUAAUGGGGUGAGUAAAAUUGCCGGAGGCUGUGCACAUUUUUUAUUGUUAAUUAAAUGUGAAUAACAACUAUGAUUCUUAAACUGUAUGUUUAAUAAGUCAGCCAGUACGUUUUCUUAUUAGUUACUGAAUAUCAUGGUUAAAUAUAUCGUCACUACUUUGAAAAAAUCUCGUAUCUCACGCUGCUCCUCAAAGUUAAAACGCAGUAAGUAUAUAUGCAUUCAAUAUAUACUACAAUUUUCUUUUCAUUGACAGACGAAGAUAAAAGGUUUUUUUAAAGUAGUGACGAUAUAGUCAUAUUGACACCAGCAUAAAUAAGAUCGAAUGGUGAAUUACUAACAGUAAUUUUUAUUAAGUAAGUUAUGCUUUUUAGUAUUGAAAACAAGUCAAGAAAUUUGGCUCAACUACACAGUCGUAAUUAGUUAAAUGGUUGGGUAUAAAUGCAUAGUUAGUUAUAUUUACCGUGUCGGUCUGGUACCUGUAUAUUAUCCGUGACGAUUUGUGUCAAAUUUGCGUUUUUAUUUUAGAUUCUAUAUUUUUAGUACCUAUUUAAUAAAGUUGUCGUACCCUUCA